AAAGCAGGAUGCAGCCAAGGAUGACUUGCCGGCCGGCGAUGGCCGCCGGCGACGGCGAGGUUAAUUGGUCUGUCUGUUGAUCCGGCAAGUUUGUCCUUGGCUACACCUUGCUCUCU
This 116-nucleotide microRNA precursor is filed under the name Oryza glumipatula. Lineage: Eukaryota; Viridiplantae; Streptophyta; Magnoliopsida; Poales; Poaceae. The record is from RNAcentral.